AUGCCAACCUCCCAAAAGCACCGAGACUUCAGGGCAGAGCCCAUGGGGGAAAAGCUAGUGGGGAGCCUGGCCAGGAUUGGUGAAGUCCUGGGCAAGAAGCUGGAGGAAAGGGGCUUUGACAAGGCCUAUGUUGUCCUUGGCCAGUUUCUGGUGCUGAGGAAAGAUGAAGACCUGUUCCGGGAAUGGCCAAAGGACUCGUGGUGCCAACACCAAGCAGUCCCGGGACUUCGGAUGCCUUCGAGAGCAUGCGAUGCCUUCUUGUGA
Molecule: long non-coding RNA, 264 nt
Filed under: Homo sapiens (human)
Lineage: Eukaryota; Metazoa; Chordata; Mammalia; Primates; Hominidae
Description: non-protein coding lnc-CALY-2:1
Source: RNAcentral